AGAGUUUGAUCAUGGCUCAGGACUAACGCUGGCGGCGUACCUAAUCUAUGCAAGUUUUUGUUUUUUCGGGCUUGCCCGAAGAGACAAGGCAGACGAGUGAGUAAUAUGUAGGAACUAACCCUUGAUUCAAGAAUAACUCCGAGAAAUCGGAGAUAAUACUUGAUGGUCUCGCAAGAGUAAAGCUUCGGCGAUCAAGGACAGGCCUGCAUCCUAUCAGCUAGUUGGUAAGGUAAUGGCUUACCAAGGCUAUGACGGGUAGGGGGCGUGAGAGCGUGUACCCCCACGAUGGCACUGUGACACGGGCCAUACACCUACGGGUGGCAGCAAGUAGGAAUAUUGCACAAUGCCCUAUUUUUAGGGUGAUGCAGCGACGCCGUGUGCGGGAAGAAGGAUUUCGGUCUGUAAACCGACGUUAAAAAGGAGCGGCUAACUUCGUGCCAGCAGCAGCGGUAAUACGGGGGCUCCAAGCGUUGUCCGGUAUCAUUGGGCGUAAAGAGUUAUGUAGGCGGUCUUAUAAGUUACUGGUUAAAUCUCCCGGCUCAACCGGGAAUCUGCUUGUAAUACUGUAAGACUAGAGAUAAUCAGGGGAAGAUAGAACGCAUGGUGUAGCGGUAAAGUGCUUUGAUAUCAUGCGGAAUACUAAAGGCGUAGGCAGUCUUCUGGGAUUUUUCUGACGCUGAGAUACGAAAGCGUGGGGAGCAAAACGGAUUAGAUACCCGUGUAGUCCACGCCGUAAACUAUGUUCACUAGAUCCGUGCACCAAUUCAUUGGUGUGCGAGUCGCAGCUAACGCGUUAAGUGAACCGCCUGGGAAGUACGGCCGCAAGGCUAAAACUCAAAGGAAUUGACGGG
This 851-nucleotide ribosomal RNA is filed under the name uncultured bacterium. RNAcentral's name for it is "bacterial SSU rRNA". It matches the Rfam family "Bacterial small subunit ribosomal RNA", at positions 8 to 917 of the family's 1533-position model. The record is from RNAcentral.